CGGAACGGGUGAGUAAUACAUCGGAACGUGCCCAGACGUGGGGGAUAACGAGGCGAAAGCUUUGCUAAUACCGCAUACGAUCUAAGGAUGAAAGCAGGGGACCGCAAGGCCUUGCGCGUUUGGAGCGGCCGAUGGCAGAUUAGGUAGUUGGUGGGAUAAAAGCUUACCAAGCCGACGAUCUGUAGCUGGUCUGAGAGGACGACCAGCCACACUGGGACUGAGACACGGCCCAG
RNAcentral lists this ribosomal RNA (233 nucleotides) under uncultured bacterium. RNAcentral describes it as "partial 16S ribosomal RNA". It matches the Rfam family "Bacterial small subunit ribosomal RNA", at positions 100 to 334 of the family's 1533-position model. The record is from RNAcentral.